Non-coding RNA from Xyrichtys novacula (pearly razorfish), 148 nucleotides. NCBI's taxonomy places the organism in Eukaryota, Metazoa, Chordata, Actinopteri, Labriformes, Labridae. The record is from the annotation of a GenBank genome assembly.
CUCCUGCUCCUCCUCCUGCUCCUCCUGCUCCAAACCUUCACCGCGGUGGUUCCUCACAUGGACUUUAACUCCCUCAUGCACUGAAACAAAUAAGAUGAAAUCAUGUUAUUCAUAAAAGUGAGAGGAGGAGGAGGAGGAGGAGCAGGAG